This 427-nucleotide ribosomal RNA is filed under the name uncultured bacterium. Its description in RNAcentral is "partial 16S ribosomal RNA". It matches the Rfam family "Bacterial small subunit ribosomal RNA", at positions 355 to 774 of the family's 1533-position model. The record is from RNAcentral.
UGGGGAAUAUUGCACAAUGGGCGCAAGCCUGAUGCAGCCAUGCCGCGCGUGUGAAGAAGGCCUUCGGGUUGUAAAGCACUUUCAGCGAGGAGGAAGGGUGGUGUGUUAAUAGCACAUUGCAUUGACGUUACUCGCAGAAGAAGCACCGGCUAACUCCGUGCCAGCAGCCGCGGUAAUACGGAGGGUGCAAGCGUUAAUCGGAAUUACUGGGCGUAAAGCGCACGCAGGCGGUUUGUUAAGUCAGAUGUGAAAUCCCCGCGCUUAACGUGGGAACUGCAUUUGAAACUGGCAAGCUAGAGUCUUGUAGAGGGGGGUAGAAUUCCAGGUGUAGCGGUGAAAUGCGUAGAGAUCUGGAGGAAUACCGGUGGCGAAGGCGGCCCCCUGGACAAAGACUGACGCUCAGGUGCGAAAGCGUGGGGAGCAAACA